AUUGAACGCUGGCGGCAUGCUUUACACAUGCAAGUCGAACGGGGUUGGAGCUUGCUCCAAUCUAGUGGCGAACGGGUGAGUAAUAUAUCGGAACGUACCCGGCAAUGGGGGAUAACGUAGCGAAAGUUACGCUAAUACCGCAUAUGCCCUGAGGGGGAAAGCAGGGGACCAGCAAUGGCCUUGCGUUGUCGGAGCGGCCGAUAUCGGAUUAGCUAGUUGGUGAGGUAAAGGCUCACCAAGGCGACGAUCCGUAGCGGGUCUGAGAGGAUGAUCCGCCACACUGGGACUGAGACACGGCCCAGACUCCUACGGGAGGCAGCAGUGGGGAAUUUUGGACAAUGGGGGAAACCCUGAUCCAGCCAUGCCGCGUGAGUGAAGAAGGCCUUCGGGUUGUAAAGCUCUUUCAGGUGGAAAGAAAAAGUUGCAGAUAAUACCUGCAACUGAUGACGGUACCAUCAGAAGAAGCACCGGCUAACUACGUGCCAGCAGCCGCAGUAA
This 498-nucleotide ribosomal RNA is filed under the name uncultured bacterium. Its description in RNAcentral is "partial 16S ribosomal RNA". It matches the Rfam family "Bacterial small subunit ribosomal RNA", at positions 30 to 523 of the family's 1533-position model. The record is from RNAcentral.